This 410-nucleotide ribosomal RNA is filed under the name Verrucomicrobiota bacterium. RNAcentral's name for it is "Verrucomicrobia bacterium partial 16S ribosomal RNA". It matches the Rfam family "Bacterial small subunit ribosomal RNA", at positions 355 to 776 of the family's 1533-position model. Lineage: Bacteria; Pseudomonadati; Verrucomicrobiota. The record is from RNAcentral.
UGGGGAAUCUUGCACAAUGGGCGAAAGCCUGAUGCAGCGACGCCGCGUGCGGGAUGAAGGCCUUCGGGUUGUAAACCGCUUUCAGCAGGGACGAGGCCGCAAGGUGACGGUACCUGCAGAAGAAGCCCCGGCUAACUACGUGCCAGCAGCCGCGGUAAUACGUAGGGGGCAAGCGUUAUCCGGAUUCAUUGGGCGUAAAGCGCGCGUAGGCGGUUUGUUAGGUCAGGAGUUAAAUCUGGGGGCUCAACCCCUAUCCGCUCCUGAUACCGGCAGGCUUGAGUCUGGUAGGGGAAGGCGGAAUUCCAAGUGUAGCGGUGAAAUGCGCAGAUAUUUGGAAGAACACCGGUGGCGAAGGCGGCCUUCUGGGCCACGACUGACGCUGAGGCGCGAAAGCGAGGGGAGCGAACAGG